AAUAGGACUUUUUUGAACCUUGGGGGUUUUUUUUUCCCCGGGGGCGAUACCUGCUGAACUUAAGCAUAUCAAUAAGCGGGAGGAAAAGAAACCAACAGGGAUUGCCCUAGUAACGGCGAGUGAAGCGGCAACAGCUCAAAUUUGAAAUCUGGCGCAAGCCCGAGUUGUAAUUUGUAGAGGAUGCUUCUGGCCAGCGGCCGUUCUAAGUUCCUUGGAACAGGACGUCAUAGAGGGUGAGAAUCCCGUAUGUGACCGGCGCGCAGCCUUUACGUAGCUCCUUCGACGAGUCGAGUUGUUUGGGAAUGCAGCUCUAAAUGGGAGGUAAAUUUCUUCUAAAGCUAAAUACCGGCCAGAGACCGAUAGCGCACAAGUAGAGUGAUCAAAAGAUGAAAAGCACUUUGGAAAGAGAGUUAAAAAGCACGUGAAAUUGUUGAAAGGGAAGCGCUUGCAACCAGACUUCGUAGCGGUGUUCCGCCGGUCUUCUGACCGGUCCACUCAUCGUCUCGAGGCCAACAUCGUCUGGGACCGCUGGAUAAGACCUAAGGAAUGUAGCUUCCCUCGGGAAGUGUUAUAGCCUGUGGUGAUGCACGCGCGUCUCGGGCGAGGUCCGCGCUUCGGCAAGGAUGUUGGCGUAAUGGUUGUCAGCGGCCCGUCUUGAAACACGGACCAAGGAGUCUAACAUCUAUGCGAGUGUUCGGGUGUCAAACCCCUACGCGUAAUGAAAGUGAACGGAGGUGGGGAAGCGCAAGCUGCACCAUCGACCGAUCCUGAUGUCCUCGGAUGGAUUUGAGUAAGAGCAUAGCUGUUGGGACCCGAAAGAUGGUGAACUAUGCCUGAAUAGGGUGAAGCCAGAGGAAACUCUGGUGGAGGCUCGCAGCGGUUCUGACGUGCAAAUCGAUCGUCAAAUUUGGGUAUAGGGGCGAAAGACUAAUCGAACCAUCUAGAUAGCUGGUUCCUGCCGAAUUUCCCCCCCGGAAAAAAAACAACACUUCAAAAAAAAAGGUUCGCCUUAGAUUGUUC
RNAcentral lists this ribosomal RNA (1020 nucleotides) under Passalora stromatica. RNAcentral describes it as "eukaryotic LSU rRNA". It matches the Rfam family "Eukaryotic large subunit ribosomal RNA", at positions 1 to 1124 of the family's 3401-position model. Lineage: Eukaryota; Fungi; Ascomycota; Dothideomycetes; Mycosphaerellales; Mycosphaerellaceae. The record is from RNAcentral.